This 491-nucleotide ribosomal RNA is filed under the name uncultured bacterium. Its description in RNAcentral is "bacterial SSU rRNA". It matches the Rfam family "Bacterial small subunit ribosomal RNA", at positions 28 to 508 of the family's 1533-position model. The record is from RNAcentral.
GACGAACGCUGGCGGCGUGCUUAACACAUGCAAGUCGAGCGGAAAGGCCUUUCGGGGUACACGAGCGGCGAACGGGUGAGUAACACGUGGGUGACCUGCCCCCUACUCUGGGAUAAGCCCGGGAAACUGGGUCUAAUACCGGAUAUGACACAGUCUCGCAUGAGGUUGUGUGGAAAGUCCUGUUCUUAAUUGGACACUUCGGUGGGGGAUGGGCCCGCGGCCUAUCAGCUUGUUGGUGAGGUUACGGCUCACCAAGGCGACGACGGGUAGCCGGCCUGAGAGGGUGUCCGGCCACACUGGGACUGAGAUACGGCCCAGACUCCUACGGGAGGCAGCAGUGGGGAAUCUUGCGCAAUGGCCGAAAGGCUGACGCAGCGACGCCGCGUGUGGGAUGAAGCAUUUCGGUGUGUAAACCACUGUUGCCCGGGACGAAUUGCCUUUUUCGAGAGGCUUGACGGUACCGGGUGAGGAAGCACCGGCUAACUCCGUGC